This 75-nucleotide transfer RNA is filed under the name Staphylococcus aureus. Its description in RNAcentral is "tRNA-Asn". It matches the Rfam family "tRNA". From Rfam's summary of the family: Transfer RNA (tRNA) molecules are approximately 80 nucleotides in length. Their secondary structure includes four short double-helical elements and three loops (D, anti-codon, and T loops). The record is from RNAcentral. Lineage: Bacteria; Bacillati; Bacillota; Bacilli; Caryophanales; Staphylococcaceae.
UCCACAUUAGCUCAGUGGUAGAGCUAUCGGCUGUUAACCGAUCGGUCGUAGGUUCGAGUCCUACCUGUGGAGCCA